This 459-nucleotide ribosomal RNA is filed under the name uncultured Treponema sp. Its description in RNAcentral is "partial 16S ribosomal RNA". It matches the Rfam family "Bacterial small subunit ribosomal RNA", at positions 341 to 792 of the family's 1533-position model. The record is from RNAcentral. Lineage: Bacteria; Pseudomonadati; Spirochaetota; Spirochaetia; Treponematales; Treponemataceae.
ACGGAAGGCAGCAGCUAAGAAUAUUCCGCAAUGGACGAAAGUCUGACGGAGCGACGCCGCGUGGAUGAUGAAGGUCGAAAGAUUGUAAAAUCCUUUUAGGAGUGAAGAAUAAGAGGUGCAGGGAAUGGCAUCACGGUGACGGUAGCUCCUGAAUAAGCAACGGCUAAUUACGUGUCAGCAGCCGCGGUAACACGUAAGUUGCGAGCGUUGUUCGGAAUUAUUGGGCGUAAAGGGUAUGUAGGCGGUCGUGCAAGCUUGGUGUGAAAGGCAGGGGCUCAGCCCCUGGACUGCAUUGAGAACUGCAAGACUUGAAUUGCUGAAGGGCAGCCGGAAUUCCAGGUGUAGGGGUGAAAUCUGUAGAUAUCUGGAAGAACACCAAUGGCGAAGGCAGGCUGCUGGCAGAUGAUUGACGCUGAGGUACGAAAGUGCGGGGAGCAAACAGGAUUAGAUACCCUGGUA